RNAcentral lists this ribosomal RNA (1366 nucleotides) under Nocardia sp. FXJ1.077. Its description in RNAcentral is "bacterial SSU rRNA". It matches the Rfam family "Bacterial small subunit ribosomal RNA". Lineage: Bacteria; Bacillati; Actinomycetota; Actinomycetes; Mycobacteriales; Nocardiaceae. The record is from RNAcentral.
UCGAGCGGUAAGGCCCUUCGGGGUACACGAGCGGCGAACGGGUGAGUAACACGUGGGUGAUCUGCCUUGGACUCUGGGAUAAGCCUGGGAAACUGGGUCUAAUACCGGAUAUGACCACGUACUGGAUGGUGUGGGGUGGAAAGAUUUAUCGGUGCGAGAUGGGCCCGCGGCCUAUCAGCUUGGUGGUGGGGUAAUGGCCUACCAAGGCGACCACCGGUAGCCGGCCUGAAAGGGCGACCGGCCACCCUGGGACUGAAACACGGCCCAGACUCCUACGGGAGGCAGCAGUGGGGAAUAUUGGACAAUGGGCGGAAGCCUGAUGCAGCGACCCCCCGUGAGGGAUGACGGCCUUCGGGUUGUAAACCUCUUUCCACAGGGACCAAGCGUGAGUGACGGUACCUGGAGAAAAAGCACCGGCCAACUACCUGCCAGCAGCCGCGGUAAUACCUAAGGUGGGAGCGUUGUCCGGAAUUACUGGGCGUAAAGAGCUUGGAAGCGGUUCGUCCCGUCCAUUGGGAAAACUUGCAGCUCAACUGCAAGCUUGCAGUCGAUACGGGCGGACUAGAGUACUUCAGGGGAGACUGGAAUUCCUGGUGUAGCGGUGAAAUGCGCAGAUAUCAGGAGGAACACCGGUGGCGAAGGCGGGUCUCUGGGAAGUAACUGACGCUGAGAAGCGAAAGCGUGGGUAGCGAACAGGAUUAGAUACCCUGGUAGUCCACGCCGUAAACGGUGGGUACUAGGUGUGGGUUUCCUUCCACGGGAUCCGUGCCGUAGCUAACGCAUUAAGUACCCCGCCUGGGGAGUACGGCCGCAAGGCUAAAACUCAAAGGAAUUGACGGGGGCCCGCACAAGCGGCGGAGCAUGUGGAUUAAUUCGAUGCAACGCGAAGAACCUUACCUGGGUUUGACAUACACCAGAAAGCUGCAGAGAUGUAGCCCCCCUUGUGGUUGGUGUACAGGUGGUGCAUGGCUGUCGUCAGCUCGUGUCGUGAGAUGUUGGGUUAAGUCCCGCAACGAGCGCAACCCUUAUCUUAUGUUGCCAGCGCGUAAUGGCGGGGACUCGUGAGAGACUGCCGGGGUCAACUCGGAGGAAGGUGGGGACGACGUCAAGUCAUCAUGCCCCUUAUGUCCAGGGCUUCACACAUGCUACAAUGGCCAGUACAGAGGGCUGCGAUACCGUGAGGUGGAGCGAAUCCCUUAAAGCUGGUCUCAGUUCGGAUCGGGGUCUGCAACUCGACCCCGUGAAGUUGGAGUCGCUAGUAAUCGCAGAUCAGCAACGCUGCGGUGAAUACGUUCCCGGGCCUUGUACACACCGCCCGUCACGUCAUGAAAGUCGGUAACACCCGAAGCCGGUGGCCUAACCCUUG